Molecule: ribosomal RNA, 92 nt
Filed under: Faecalicatena contorta
Lineage: Bacteria; Bacillati; Bacillota; Clostridia; Lachnospirales; Lachnospiraceae
Description: 16S rRNA. Bacterial SSU
Rfam family: Bacterial small subunit ribosomal RNA
Source: RNAcentral
CUUUUAACGAGAGUUUGAUCCUGGCUCAGGAUGAACGCUGGCGGCGUGCUUAACACAUGCAAGUCGAGCGAAGCACUUUACUUGGAUUUCUU